RNAcentral lists this non-coding RNA (170 nucleotides) under Sutterella wadsworthensis. Lineage: Bacteria; Pseudomonadati; Pseudomonadota; Betaproteobacteria; Burkholderiales; Sutterellaceae. The record is from RNAcentral.
GGGAAGGCAACGACCUCGAUGGAGGAAGCCGAUAACAAAGCACCAGCCUGACGAACAGGAAUCGGAUGUGAGGCGUGUAUCUCGGGAGAGUCGGCGACGAUCGAUUAACCCGAAACUGUUACGGAAGGGAUGCACGUAUAUCCGGCAGGUAGGGGGCGAAGCACAUGUGU